GUUGUACUCCCUCUGUCCGGAAUUACUUGUGCGAAAAUGGAUUAAAAUGAAUGUAUUUAGAACUAAAAUACGUCUAGAUACAUCAAUUUCUCAGACAAGUAUUUCUGGACGGAGGGAGUACCAU
This is a non-coding RNA of Triticum aestivum (bread wheat), 124 nucleotides long. The record is from Rfam. Lineage: Eukaryota; Viridiplantae; Streptophyta; Magnoliopsida; Poales; Poaceae.